This 864-nucleotide ribosomal RNA is filed under the name Cerberus rynchops. RNAcentral describes it as "partial 12S ribosomal RNA". Lineage: Eukaryota; Metazoa; Chordata; Lepidosauria; Squamata; Homalopsidae. The record is from RNAcentral.
ACCACCCCAGUGAAACAGCCUACCAAUAACANNAACAGAGCCGACAUCAGAUUAANCCACCCAUGACGUCAAGCAAUUNNNAGCCACACCCCCACGGGCCUGCAGCAGUACUUAAUAUUGGGCUAUAAGCGAAANNNNNGCUUGACCUAAUAAUGGGANCNANUCANGGGCCGGUUAAUCUCNGUGCCAGCGACCGCGGUUACACGACAGACCCAAGACAAUGCCCCCGGCGUAAAGCACGACUAAAAUAACAGUUAUCCACUUCNUAGGCUAGAGGAANAGACUGGGCCGUAAAAAGCCAUAAGUUACACNAAACCACCACCCCNUAAAAANUAAANCUAUUUCAACUCGUGAAAGCAAGGACACAAACUAAGAUUAGAUACCUUACUAUGCCUCGCCGUAACACAGCAAUUAAAUAACCAAUUGCUCGCCAAAUAACUACGAGUAAAAACUUGAAAUUUAAAAGACUUGACGGUACUUCACAACAACCUAGAGGAGCCUGUCCAAUAACCGAUAAUCCACGAUUAACCCCACCCGUUUUUGCCCAANCAGUCUAUAUACCGCCGUCGCCAGCUUACCUUGUGAAAGAAAAAGANGCAAGCCAAACAGUACUUACACUAACACGACAGGUCGAGGUGUAACCAAUAAACGGGUCAAAGAUGGGCUACAUUUUCUCAAUCAGAAAAAACGAACAAANGUAUGAAAUAACGACCUGAAGGAGGAUUUAGCAGUAAGAUAAAGACANGAAUACUUAUCUGAAACCAAUGCAAUGAAGCGCGUACACACCGCCCGUCAUCCCUGUAAANAACAACACAAACAUUCAUAAACACAUACACACACCAAANGCAGGGCAAGUCGUAACAC